This 416-nucleotide ribosomal RNA is filed under the name uncultured beta proteobacterium Ch6E1. Its description in RNAcentral is "bacterial SSU rRNA". It matches the Rfam family "Bacterial small subunit ribosomal RNA", at positions 213 to 622 of the family's 1533-position model. The record is from RNAcentral. Lineage: Bacteria; Pseudomonadati; Pseudomonadota; Betaproteobacteria.
UUAUGCUUUUGGAGCNGCCGAUGUCUGAUUAGCUAGUUGGUAAGGUAAAAGCUUACCAAGGCGACGAUCAGUAGUUGGUCUGAGAGGACGACCAGCCACACUGGGACUGAGACACGGCCCAGACUCCUACGGGAGGCAGCAGUGGGGAAUUUUGGACAAUGGGCGNAAGCCUGAUCCAGCAAUGCCGCGUGAGUGAAGAAGGCUUCGGGUUGUAAAGCUCUUUCAGUCGAGAAGAAAAGAUUAUGACUAAUAAUCCUAAUUUAUGACGGUAUCGGCAGAAGAAGCACCGGCUAACUACGUGCCAGCAGCCGCGGUAAUACGUAGGGUGCAAGCGUUAAUCGGAAUUACUGGGCGUAAAGGGUGCGCAGGCGGCUCUGCAAGUCAGAUGUGAAAUCCCCGGGCUUAACCUGGGAACU